AUAGUACUCCCUUCAUCCGGAAAUACUUGUCGAAAAAAUGGAUGUAUUUAGACACAUUUUAGUAUUAGAUACAUUCAUUUUUAUCUAUUUUUUCAACAAGUAUUUCCGGACGGAAGGAGUACUGC
This is a non-coding RNA of Triticum urartu, 125 nucleotides long. NCBI's taxonomy places the organism in Eukaryota, Viridiplantae, Streptophyta, Magnoliopsida, Poales, Poaceae. The record is from Rfam.